AGAGUUUGAUCCUGGCUCAGAACGAACGUUGGCGGCGUGGAUUAGGCAUGCAAGUCGAACGAAUCCCAGGGGCUUGCUCCUGGGGGAAGUGGCGAAAGGGGCAGUAAGGUAUGGGUAACCUACCUCGGGGACGGGGAUAGCCUUCCUAACGGAAGGGUAAUACCUGGCGAUCUGGCGAGGAGACAUCUUCUUACCAGGAAAUGAAUUUCGCCUCGAGAGGGGCCCAUAUGGUAUUAGCUUGUUGGUGAGGUAACGGCUCACCAAGGCCAAGAUGCCUAGCAGGUGUGAGAGCACGACCUGCGCCACUGGCACUGUGACACUGGCCAGACUCCUACGGGAGGCUGCAGUCGAGGAUCUUCGGCAAUGGGCGCAAGCCUGACCGAGCGACGCCGCGUGUGCGAUGAAGGCCUUCGGGUUGUAAAGCACUGUCGAGGGGGAGGAAGCCCGCAAGGGUUGACUAAUCCCUGGAGGAAGCACGGGCUAAGUUCGUGCCAGCAGCCGCGGUAAGACGAACCGUGCGAACGUUGUUCGGAAUCACU
Molecule: ribosomal RNA, 539 nt
Filed under: uncultured Planctomycetales bacterium
Lineage: Bacteria; Pseudomonadati; Planctomycetota; Planctomycetia; Planctomycetales
Description: bacterial SSU rRNA
Rfam family: Bacterial small subunit ribosomal RNA
Source: RNAcentral